This is a long non-coding RNA of Ostrea edulis (European flat oyster), 310 nucleotides long. RefSeq lists it as uncharacterized. The transcript has 2 exons. The record is from RefSeq and is a predicted model, not a curated record. NCBI's taxonomy places the organism in Eukaryota, Metazoa, Mollusca, Bivalvia, Ostreida, Ostreidae.
AUGAUCAGGAGCUUAGGGUGGAUAUUUCGAGGUCUAGUGGCAAGACAGCGCAUGCUUCGUACUCCACAUUCUAUAUUGGGAAUGAGACCAGUAAAUACAUUCUCACUGUCGAGGGGUUCUCAGGAACGGCGGGAAACAGCAUGCUUCGUAACAAUGGAAGGAUGUUCUCGACAUUCGACCAAGACAAUGACGAGCACGUGCAGUCGAACUGUGCGGUAUAUUCGCUAGGAGCCUGGUGGUACAGUGACUGCGGUUCUUCUAACCUGAACGGGAGAAAAGAUGUAUAUUGGUUAACUUGGACAGGUGCUAC